CACCCUGCCUGCUGGCUCGGCAGGGUAAUUCCUCAGGUCACCACAGUUUCCAGCCUGCCUUGGGCUUGGAGAAUGAGGAGGUGGGAGAGCAACAGCUUGCAACCGUGAACAUCCACCAUGCAUCGCUUUAUCACCUAGAGCAAGCUCCUGAGGAUGUUGAGGAAGAAGGCUCUGCAGGUGGCCUCAGAGCCUGAGGGAAGCAGCUGCCAUCUUCCGCAGGAACAGAGCGGUCCCUUUGUCCCCUCUGGCGGGGAAGGAGUUCCCGGCUGAGCCAGGAGGUGGAAGCGCCCAGCCUUCUGGAGGAGGAAACCUGCUCCGGAUGCAGGUGCUGAGGGACCUCCAGGGACUCAGAGGACGAGGAGGAGGUAGCCGUGGACAUGGCUAUGAGGAGGCUGCUCUCAGGAACAUCCGAGAGCAGUUCCAAGGCUGAGAAAAGGACAAGGCCCAGCAGCUCAUGUUCCUGGAUGCCAUCCACCCCGCGUGAUUCGCUACACGGAAGAGAGCACAGGACACAUGGGAGUCGCACUGCUGCAAGGCGGCUGUGGUGGAG
This is a non-coding RNA of Caretta caretta (loggerhead turtle), 550 nucleotides long. The record is from RefSeq and is a predicted model, not a curated record. Lineage: Eukaryota; Metazoa; Chordata; Testudines; Cheloniidae.